ACUCCUACGGGAGGCAGCAGUGGGGAAUAUUGCACAAUGGGCGCAAGCCUGAUGCAGCCAUGCCGCGUGUAUGAAGAAGGCCUUCGGGUUGUAAAGUACUUUCAGCAGUGAGGAAGGUGGGUAUGUUAAUAGCAUACUCAUUUGACGUUAGCUGCAGAAGAAGCACCGGCUAACUCCGUGCCAGCAGCCGCGGUAAUACGGAGGAUCCAAGCGUUAUCCGGAAUCAUUGGGUUUAAAGGGUCCGUAGGUGGAUGAUUAAGUCAGAGGUGAAAUCCCUGCAGCUCAACUGUAGAAUUGCCUUUGAUACUGGUUGUCUUGAAUUAUUGUGAAGUAGUUAGAAUAUGUGGUGUAGCGGUGAAAUGCAUAGAUAUCACAUAGAAUACCGAUUGCGAAGGCAGAUUACUAACAAUACAUUGACACUGAUGGACGAAAGCGUGGGGAGCAAACAGGAUUAGAUACCCUGGUAGCUACGAGU
Molecule: ribosomal RNA, 475 nt
Filed under: uncultured bacterium
Lineage: Bacteria
Description: bacterial SSU rRNA
Rfam family: Bacterial small subunit ribosomal RNA
Source: RNAcentral